AGAGUUUGAUCCUGGCUCAGGACGAACGCUGGCGGCGUGCCUAACACAUGCAAGUUGAGCGACGAACCAGGGCUUGCCCUGGGGCAAAGCAGCGAACGGGUGAGUAACACGUGGGUAACCUGCCCCGAAAACCGGGACAACCCGAGGAAACUCGAGCUAAUACCGGAUGUGCCCUCCGGACUCAAGUCCGGCGAGUAAAGGAAGCUUCGGCCUCCGUUUCGGGAGGGGCCCGCGGCCCAUUAGCUUGUUGGUGAGGUAACGGCUCACCAAGGCGACGAUGGGUAGCUGGUCUGAGAGGACGAUCAGCCACACUGGGACUGAGACACGGCCCAGACUCCUACGGGAGGCAGCAGUGGGGAAUCUUGCGCAAUGCGCGAAAGCGUGACGCAGCAACGCCGCGUGGGGGAAGACGGCCUUCGGGUUGUAAACCCCUUUCAGGAGGGACGAAGGCAUGGCGGUGAACAGCCGACCGUGCUGACGGUACCUCCAGAAGAAGCCCCGGCUAACUACGUGCCAGCAGCCGCGGUAAUACGUAGGGGGCAAGCGUUGUCCGGAAUCAUUGGGCGUAAAGCGCGCGUAGGCGGCCCGGUAAGUCCGCUCUGAAAGUCCAGGGCUCAACCCUGGAAAGCGGGUGGAUACUGCCGGGCUAGAGUCCGGAAGAGGCGAGUGGAAUUCCUGGUGUAGCGGUGGAAUGCGCAGAUAUCAGGAGGAACACCAAUAGCGAAGGCAGCUCGCUGGGACGGUACUGACGCUGAGGCGCGAAAGCGUGGGGAGCAAACAGGAUUAGAUACCCCCGUAGUCC
This 802-nucleotide ribosomal RNA is filed under the name uncultured bacterium. Its description in RNAcentral is "bacterial SSU rRNA". It matches the Rfam family "Bacterial small subunit ribosomal RNA", at positions 8 to 796 of the family's 1533-position model. The record is from RNAcentral.